RNAcentral lists this non-coding RNA (102 nucleotides) under Staphylococcus carnosus. RNAcentral describes it as "TPP sequence". It matches the Rfam family "TPP riboswitch aptamer (THI element)". From Rfam's summary of the family: Vitamin B(1) in its active form thiamin pyrophosphate (TPP) is an essential coenzyme that is synthesised by coupling of pyrimidine and thiazole moieties in bacteria. The previously detected thiamin-regulatory element, thi box was extended, resulting in a new, highly conserved RNA secondary structure, the THI element, which is widely distributed in eubacteria and also occurs in some archaea. Lineage: Bacteria; Bacillati; Bacillota; Bacilli; Caryophanales; Staphylococcaceae. The record is from RNAcentral.
AAUACGCACUAGGGGUGUUUUUUAAACUGAGAUGAGGAUUUCCUCAGACCCUUUGAACCUGAUCUAGCUGAAACUAGCGUAGGAAAGUGUGAGAUAACCGCA